Non-coding RNA from Camellia sinensis, 1678 nucleotides. The record is from RefSeq and is a predicted model, not a curated record. Lineage: Eukaryota; Viridiplantae; Streptophyta; Magnoliopsida; Ericales; Theaceae.
AACACCUUCUAAGGUUCUACAUUAUUUUCCUUUGAUACCAAGGCUACAAAGGUUAUUCAUGUCAUCCAAAACAGCAUCAUCUAUGAAGUGGCAUAAAGAAGGUCGCACCAAUGAUGGUUGUAUGAGACAUCCUGCCGAUUCUCCAGCUUCGAUGACUUUUGACCACCUACAUCCUGAUUUCGCAGCAGAUUGUAGAAAUGUCAGACUUGGGUUGGCGUGUGAUGGUGUGAACCCUUUCAAAACAUUGAGCAGCACGUAUAGCACCUGGCCUGUAAUUCUUAUACCGUAUAAUUUGCCUCCAUGGAUGUGUAUGAAGCAGACCAAUUUUCUAUUAUCAUUGAUUAUCCCUGGUCAUAGUGCACCUGGAAAUAAUAUUGAUGUGUAUUUGGAACCUUUAAUAGAUGAAUUAAAGGAAUUAUGGGUGGAUGGAGUAGAGACAUAUGAUGCAUCAAUUAAACAAAAUUUCCAAUUGCGUGCAGCAUUAAUGUGGACUAUCAGCGACUUCCCUGCUUAUGCUUAUUUGUCAGGGUGGAGUACUAAAGGGAAGUAUGCAUGCCCUUCAUGCCACAAAGACACAUGCUUCCAGUGGUUGAAGCAUGGCCGAAAACAUUGUUACAUGGGUCAUCGUCGAUUCUUGGACAAACAUCAUGCAUUUCGAGAUGAUGAGCGAUCUUUUGAUGGUACUAAAGAAAAAAGAACUGGACCCAAUCCUUUAACUGGUUCUAUGGUAUUGGAUAUGUUACAUGGCUUCAAUAUCACUUAUGGAAAGAUGAGUACUAAUCCAGAAUUACCAUAUAAUUGGAAGAAAAGAAGCAUAUUCUUUGAAUUACCAUAUUGGAAGGAUAAUCUAGUGCGUCACAAUCUUGAUGUGAUGCACAUUGAGAAAAAUGUAUGUGAGAGCUUGCUUGGAACACUACUGAAUUUAGAGGGGAAGACAAAGGAUAAUCUAAAUGCACGUCUUGACUUGAAACUUCAAGGUAUAAGGCCUGAACUCCAUCCAAAAGAAAAUGCAACAAAUAAAACUAUCUUGCCUCCUUCUUGUUUCUCAUUAAAGAAACAAGAAAAAGAUGUUUUUUGUAAAUUUUUGAAGACUGUUAAAGUUCCUAAUGGUUAUGCAGCAAAUAUUUCACGAUGCAUCGACUUAAAGCAAUGUAGAAUCUUUGGACUUAAAAGUCAUGAUUGCCAUAUUUUGAUGCAACAAUUACUCCCUUUAGCAAUUCGAGGAAUGUUGAGUUCACAUGUAACUUCACCUUUGAUUGAGUUGAGUAAUUUCUUUCGAGAGUUAUGUUCUAAAGUUGGGGUACUCGUGAUGAUGAGCGCCUAACAGUCAAUUGGAACAAACUUGGCCAACCUGACGACAAAUUGGCAACAAAGUUAUCAUCGUUCAUUGGAACUAUUGUGCGUGAUGGGAAAAAUGCACCACUCACUUACAAGAAUUGGCAUAAAGUCCCAGCACAUUACAAAGAUCACAUAUGGGCACUUGUACAGUCAAAGUUUGAUCUUCCAAGUCAUGCUAGGAAGUGGGUUAUGAAGUGCUCUGGAUGAAAUGAAUGAGAGGACAACCUUAAAUGCAAAUUUAUCAAAUAAGGGCCCAAAUGAUGCAUUUGGACAAGUGAUGGGUAAAGAAAAACAUGGACGAGUUCGCAUGUAUAGAUUAGGUGUCUCCCCAUCUAAUUUA